UACGGAGGAUCCGAGCGUUAUCCGGAUUUAUUGGGUUUAAAGGGUGCGUAGGCGGACUAGUAAGUCAGUGGUGAAAUCCUGCAGCUUAACUGUAGAAUUGCCGUUGAUACUGUUAGUCUUGAGUACAUUUGAGGUAGGCGGAAUGUGGUGUGUAGCGGUGAAAUGCAUAGAUAUACCACAGAACACCGAUUGCGAAGGCAGCUUACUAAACUGUAACUGACGCUGAGGCACGAAAGCGUGGGUAUCAAACAGGAUUAGAUACCCG
This 265-nucleotide ribosomal RNA is filed under the name uncultured prokaryote. RNAcentral describes it as "partial 16S ribosomal RNA". It matches the Rfam family "Bacterial small subunit ribosomal RNA", at positions 524 to 788 of the family's 1533-position model. The record is from RNAcentral.